GCCCAAAGAGAAUCAUUUACUUUCCUCUAAUGUAUUUUCUAAUUCGUUUUGACCCUUGAAUGUCUGUUUUGGUGCGUAUUCUCAUUCCAUGUCGAAUCUUAUCCAUAUGGACAACCCCACUUACAAAAAAGUCUAAUGAAUCUAUUGAUGUUCAUAUGAGGUUUGUGCUUUAGAUUUAGACCUCUCUCUCUCUCUCUCUCUCUCUCUCUCUCCACUUACAUGUCUUUCACUUACCUGUUUGCAUGCAUGCCCAUGCACACACUUGCAAGUUAAUACACAGUCACUCGUACUUGUGUUUUGGUUGAGCUACUGGCUGCUAACCUCUGUAAUUCAGUUUGAAACUUGCCCCCCUUAGUGCUUCACUCAAAUGGUUGGUUAGGGUGAGAUCUGUAUCGUUUUCCUGGUCUCUUUCCAAGGUUAUCUAAAGGGAUUUGGCAGUCUGAUUCUUUAGGGAAUAUCAUUGCAUAAGAUAUCUAUUGUUUGUUAAUGAAUAAUUUCUAUUAACUAGUUAUCUAUCUAAAUUGGUAAAUUUUAACUGCAUAAUUUGCAUGCAAUAAGAUUUUAUAAGAAUCUUGUUUUCAACUCAUGACUUAGACUAAUGUGAUAUGUUGAGCAUUAAGCUACAAGAUCUGCACAUCAGAGUGCUUCACGAUGUUAAGGAGAAAGCAUCUUUUUCUGCUUCUUAAUGUGAUUUAGAGUUUCCAUGUUACUUAUCCUAUAAAAUAUCUUUCAAGACUUUGCAAAUGCUUUUAUUUAUGACUGAGAGAAACUUGUUGGGUUGGUUUUUAGCAACAGACGGAGUUAUGGACUUUGUAUUGACUUGUUAUUGAUUAAGAUAGUACAUCGGCUGAUCUAUUGGUAUCAAGCAGCAGAUGCAGAAAUUAUGGGUGGCAUAUCAUUGUAUCCAAAGAGCGUACUACAUGGAAUUUUUCUGAUUUUCUGUUGGUCUCCGAGUGAAAUGCAGGCAUUUGCAGAUGAACUGGGGAUUCCUUUCCUGGAGACGAGCGCCAAAGAUGCAAUCAAUGUGGAGCAGGCUUUCUUGACCAUGGCUCGCGAGGUUAAGAAAAAGUAAAAUCACUUAACUCUUUCCUUCUUGCCUUAUGAUUGAUUCUGUGAUCCAUCACCCAUUUGUAAAUGCUGACUGUUCUAUUCAACAAUCACCAUUAUUGCUGGUUAUAUGCAUUGUGAUGAAAAUUCAGCAAUGAGUAACUUUUUACCUAAUGUUUUCUGUUGGAACAAAUUACUCUGGUAGAAAAGCCCUACAGGGUUUGAGAAAUCCCAUGAUGUGAUGAUUGUGAGCAUUUUAGACACCGUGUAUGGGUUUAUUUUUUGACUAUAAAAUGUUAAGAUUGUUUCUAGUUUUCGUUUGUAGUGCAUAAAAGGAUUCAAAAUUUGACAUCUGUCUAAAUCAGAUUAAUAACAUGAUAAUGUACAUAUGCAAGAUGUGAGGAAUUGUUUUAUCUCACCCCUAAACUUUAAGAAAUUGAAACAUUAUCAUUCAAAAUAUUUAACAUUUCCAGAAUUGAUAGUUGUCUAUUUGAGCAGUGACUGGUGGUUAUCAUGAACUGAUGUGUGGUUGUGGUGUCAAAUCUUGGUGAAACCUGUUGUCAUCUGCCGGUUAACAUAGCUAGUCUCUGAAAUAAUUUCUUGAUUCACUAAUUAUGAGUUCAAAUUUGAUGCAGGAUGGGCAACCAGCCUACUGCAAACAAAUCUUCUGGAACAGUUCAGAUGAAGGGACAGCCAAUCCAGCAAAACAGCAACUGCUGUGGUUAGCCGAGCCUGUUAUUUUACUACUACAUGUUAGCUGACUGAUUGUAGACAGUUUUAACUAUGUUGACUGCAUUAUCUUAUGAAUCUUUUAAUAUGUCAAAUAUUUAUUUCCUGCUUUAAGUUCUUUCCGUUUAUAACAAAUUUAAUUUCUUGCUUCAUCGCAUUCCAAAUUCCUGUCAAUUUACGAGGGAAAAAGAAAAGAGAGACGAAAUCAGAGAAAAUGGUCAAAUUUGUUAGGGGGAGAGAGCUGUUCAAGUAGUUUCUGUUCUUGUUUAUUGUCGUGACCCUCUUGUAGCUUGUCUAUGACCUGGAAGUCCGGUCAAAUCGGAUGGGUAAAGUUACCAAAACGGCAUCAUUUUGGGUGAAAUAUCAUAUUUAUGUCACACUUUUGAUAAUAAUUUUAAUGCAACAAAAAAUUGUUCGCGGUACCCUUUUCACAUUGUGAAGCGCAUGAUCGGAUGGGAGCAGUCUGGAUUCUGGCAUCACAAGCUAAUGCUUUGAUUUGCUUAGUUUGUUUUUUGUUUCUGAUAUUUUCUUGUCAGUGGGUGGGAUAUUGUUUCACUUUCGAGUUUCCUUUUUUUUUUUUGUUAUGGAAUUUGGAGAUAGUGUACAUGUAUGAAGAUGACGUAAUAAAGUUGUUUUGAUAAAUUCUCCUGGUCGGUUUACUUCACUAACCAUUAAUGCACAAAGCCACCUAAUGACCCUAAAAAAUCCCAUACAUAAUUAAAGAAUUUCAAUUUUUUUUGUUAUGGAAUUUGGAGAUAGUAUACAUGUAUGAAGAUGACGUAAUAAAGUUUUGAUAAAUUCUCCUGGUCGGUUUACUUCACUAACCAUUAAUGCGCAAAGCCACCUAAUGAUCCUCAAAAAUCCCAUUCAUAAUUAAAGAAUUUCAAUUUUAUAUGUACAAAAAUAAAUGACUCAAAUAUAUUAUUUGAUAAUUUCAAAAACAAUAAUUCACUCUAAUAAAUCUCGUAGCAAAUAUAUGAACUGUAUUGCAAGUCUUUUCGAGACUAAUUCAAAGGAAUACGAAUGACAUAUAAUUGACAUUUACCUAUCAUAAAGAACUCUAAAUAAAUUCAUAUAUGCAUCGCAGUUAAUUACAGCCUUGAUACUUCAAUUGGUUUUUGUUAAUUUUCUGUACAGUUAUGCUGUGCAUAAAAGUUUUGUUAAAUGAAAUUGAUAGGUGAAGAGAAUUUUUAGAAGCAGUCAUCAAAGUAAUGAUCAAUAUAAAUAUUGAUUGUCUCAAGUUAGAUUAUACAAAGAUGAAAUAAUGCUAAUAUAGUAAAUUCAAUCAUAAUAAUUUGACUUCCAUUAUAUUAAUUAUGUCCAAUCAUGCUACUUUAAUAAAGAACGCUCGAGCAUUUAUAUGUAUACAACAUACGAAAUUAAUUACAAAACUAUCUUUGACAAAGUCUGACCGGUCAACUAUCCAUCAAAUUUUGUAUUGUGUUACCGUUGAGCUCUUAUGUCAAAUAUGGAUAGACAGUGCUUUGGCUAACAGUGAGAUAUAUGCGAGCAUAAGAGCUUCGUUCUCUGUUUUUACGGUGUUUCUCUUUGUGGUUGUUGGACGAACUCUAAUGUGAAUUUCUAUCUAGUGGGUAUCCUGAUACUCUUAGUUAGUUUGGGAUUGUUGUUUUAUAUAUAAUAUUCAGUAUCCAAAAUUCAUAUGAUGAUAACCUUCAUUACUUUUGUCAUAUUUUCUUUCGUGUUGGUGUUAGUAUCUUAAUUUUGUACCCGAUGUUAAGGACAAUAUAUAGCUAAUUUGAAACUUCUAUAAUUUUACAUAUAUAGACGCAAAUUCAUUUUUAAGAGUGCAUUUAAUCAAGCAGUCCAGAUGUUUAUACUGAGUAAGUGGUUCAAUAUUAAUACAAAACUAUUUUAAGUAACAUGUGGCAUAUUCCAAUUCCAGUGAGCUUCCAACUCAGAUUCCCAAUUCAAAAGAAACGUUUUCAAUUUUCUCCAGAACAUUCUACAAAACGUUUCUUCUAGUCUCUACGCUGUGCUAGAAUUUUCUCUAAGUUUCUUUUGCAAAGACUUUUAAAGAAUUAUCCAAAUACCGAGCUUUCUUAGGGGGAGAGAGCUGUUCAAGUAGUUUCUGUUCUUGUUUAUUGUCGUGACCCUCUUGUAGCUUGUCUAUGACCUGGAAGUCCGGUCAUAUCGGAUGGGUAAAGUUACCAAAACGGCAUCAUUUUGGGUGAAAUAUCAUAUUCAUGUAACACUUUUGAUAAUAUUUUUAUGCAACAAAAAAAUGUUGUUUCACAUUGCUUAGUUUAUUUUUUGUUUCUGAUAUUUUCUUGGCAUUGGGUGGGAUGUUGUUUCUCUUUUGAGUUUCCCUUUUUUUUUUUUUAUUAUGGAAUUUGGAGAUAGUGUACGUGUAUGAAGAUGACGUAAUAAAGUUGUUUUGAUAAAUGCCCCUGGUCGGUUUACUUCACUAACCAUUAAUGCGCAAAACCUUCUAAUGAUCCUAAAAAAUCCCGUACAUAAUUAAAGAAUUUUAUAUUAUUUGAUAUGUACAAAAUUUUAUAUGUACAAAAAUAAAUAACUCUGAAAUAUAUUAUUUGAUAAUUUUAAAAACAACAAUUCGCUCUAAUAAAUCUCGUAAGAAAUACAUAGUCUAUAUUGUAAGUCUUUUCGAGACUAAUUCAAAGAGAAAAUACGAAGGACAUAUAAUUGACCUUUAUCUGUCAUAAAGAAUUCUAAAUAAAUUCAUAUACGCAUCGCAACUAAUUACAACCUUGAUACUUCAUUUGGUUUUUGUUAAUUUUCUAUACAGUUGUGCUGUACAUAAAAGUUUUGUUAAAUGAAAUCGGUAGCUGAGGAUUAAUUAAUCAAUUAAUUAAGAUCCAGUUAAUGUAAUUAAUUUUAUUUGAUUUUUUUAAUUCGAGUUCUAAAUUAAUCAAUUAAUUAGAUUCAUGUGAAAUUGAAGUGAAUUAGUUUCGAUAUGUUUUUCGUCCUAUGUUUGUCUGUGUUUACUCUCACUUUUUUUUUGUUUAAAUUUUCGUUUUCUUAUUGUUUACUGAAUAAAUUUCUGAGCUGUAUUUGAGUAUGAUGAUUGAUUUGUGAUUUUAAUUUGUGACUUUUUUUUUUGGAAUUUAAAUCUGAAUGCUUUUUAAGUUGAAUCUGAUUGUGUUGGGCCGCGAUUUAAUUGAGUGAUGUGUGAGCGCCAAAUUGUGAGAGCCAAAUAUUNNNNNNNNNNNNNNNNNNNNNNNNNNNNNNNNNNNNNNNNNNNNNNNNNNNNNNNNNNNNNNNNNNNNNNNNNNNNNNNNNNNNNNNNNNNNNNNNNNNNNNNNNNNNNNNNNNNNNNNNNNNNNNNNNNNNNNNNNNNNNNNNNNNNNNNNNNNNNNNNNNNNNNNNNNNNNNNNNNNNNNNNNNNNNNNNNNNNNNNNNNNNNNNNNNNNNNNNNNNNNNNNNNNNNNNNNNNNNNNNNNNNNNNNNNNNNNNNNNNNNNNNNNNNNNNNNNNNNNNNNNNNNNNNNNNNNNNNNNNNNNNNNNNNNNNNNNNNNNNNNNNNNNNNNNNNNNAUAAAUAACAUUGCAAUACAAUCUAGCCCUUACGUGUUUAAUUAGCAAUUACACGAACAUUAUAACACUCUGUUGCUGAUGCGGCAGCUAGUAAUUCUUCUGGUGAAGAUAUUAAGGCUGUUAAAGCUAAAAUGUAAUCAGAGAAAUAUAAUGCAUUCCCUUAGUUUGCUUUUUGUUUUUGAUAUUUGUUUGGCUAAUGCUUUGCUUAGAUUGCUUUUUGUUUUUGAGAUUUUAUUGGCUUAGUCAUGGUAUAUUGUUUUCUCUUCUAAUUUUCUAUUUUUGUCGUUAUGGGAUUUGAUGAUGGUGUACACAUACGAAAAUUAUGUAAUAAAGUGCUUUCAAUAAAUCAUGGUCGGUUUACUAUUAAUUAAUUAAAUUUAAUUAACUCAAAUUACUCUUGUACACAACCAAAAUAAUUUCAAUUCUACGAUAUGUAUACACACGCGCACACACAAACAAAAAGUAAUUAACUUUCAAAUAUUUGCCAUGCUAUUUUAAUAAAUAGUACUUGAGAAUAUAUAUAUCCAACAGGUAAAAUUUCAAAACAAUAUUUGCCGAAGUCUGAUGAAGAGAAUAUACACGCACACACAUAUAUAACCGUACAGCAGAAGGAUAAAUAAAAGAAAAUAAAGUUUCAACAGCUGAAUAAUGCAAACUCAUUUUUUUUAACAAGCAUUUUAUUGUUUAAUUUAAAAAAUUCGAAAACCGAUUGGUCUUAUAUACAUGAUAAAGACUCACCGACGCCGAACCAUAUUCAUUUAAAUUAGUUUCAACUGAGAUUUGAUUUGAAAUUACAUACACAAACACGCUCAAUUUAAAAAUAAAAAAUAGUAAUUAUAAAAUAUUUCUGUCGUCCUCCAUUCAAUUAUCAAAAAACGACUUUAUAAUCGAUUUUAACAUAAGGUAUAUGGGUUAACAAGUCCCAAUAUUGUCCUCCAUCCUUUCUGCACUUCUCUUCUAUCAACGGACAUCUCCAGAUCUGUAAUUGCAAAAGUGAGGAAGGCAGGCCCUUCUCCGGAAAGUAUUUAAGCUUGGGACAUCCAUGGAGUCGCAAUUCAGUGAGGUUUUGAAGAUCAACAAUUGAAGAAGGUAGGCGUUCCAGAUUUGAAAAUAAAAGAAUGCUCAGAGAUGUUAGAGAGGCAGGAAGAGGAAGCGCGGUCCCUAAUCUUUUGUCCUCUAGUGGAAAUGACACCAUGUCGUCAUAACAUCCUCCGAUUUCUAGAUGUCGCAUAGAGGAGAAUCUGUGAAAUCCCCGACCCCGCUCAACCAUUGACUUCCAAAUCUCCAUAUUACCCCUGAUAUGAAGUGACUGAAUCUUGGUGGGAAGGCCAUCUUCUUCAAGGCUUGGAAGCUCACCUCCUAUUCUUAAUUCUUGAACAGAAGUCAGGUUGUGCAAUCCCUUGGGUAAGGCCUCUAGUCUCUUGCACCAACGGAUACAGAGCUUAGUGACUUUCGCACAAGGCANNNNNNNNNNNNNNNNNNNNNNNNNNNNNNNNNNNNNNNNNNNNNNNNNNNNNNNNNNNNNNNNNNNNNNNNNNNNNNNNNNNNNNNNNNNNNNNNNNNNNNNNNNNNNNNNNNNNNNNNNNNNNNNNNNGAGACGUGUUGUAGUCCAACCUUUCUGCUAUGGACUCCAGAUUUCCACACAUCUGUAUACUAAUCUUUCGAAGCUGGCGGAGAUUAUGUAAACCACUCGGUAAAAUUUUGAGAUUUUCACAAUGAUAAAUGUUGAUUUUUUCAAGAGAUGUGUUGUUGUCCAACCUUUCUGCUAUUGACUCCAGCUUUGAACAAUGAGAAACAUAAAGGGACUUAAGAGACGGAGGUAGAUUGCCAACUUCAAGGGACUCAAGCGUGGCAGGUAACUCGUUUUUUGAAAAUAUACAUGUCAGUGAUGGACAAUCCCUAAUUUCCAACUCCUCGAGAAGAGAUGAGGUGUACCUUCUGCCGCUGCUACUCUGGAUGCCCUCUUCCACUGUCAAAGUCCUUAUAUUAUCGCAACGCCAGAUCUUCAACUUCUUAAGGCUCGAUGGUAGCUGGACAGCAGCAAUAUAUGUCAACGAACAACAAUACUGAAUAUUCAAGAUCUCGAGAGACGAAUGGGUGUCGCACAUCCAUGCCUCUGGUAACGAUUUCAGUGCAUCACAAUGCCCAAUCUGAAUUUCCUUCAACUUGGAAGGCAGAGCAACCUCAGGAAACGAAACAAGGGAACUGCAGUUGUAGAUUUCUAUCUCUCUCAAGGAACUGAGGCUGAACGAUGAUUGUGGCAGCUUCACAAGGCCUUCGCAUCGGUUCAAUUCUAGAUAUUCAAGUCUGCUUGACAAUUCGCAGAGCUGCUGUUGUUGGUCUUUCUCUUCCUCCGCCACCAAGGAUUGAAGUUUGGGACAUCUGUCAAUCGUCAGUCUUUUGAGAGAGCAAAUGUCUUGCAGUAAUUCGUUAUGACUCUUCCAUACAUAUGUUUCAUUUUCAAUAUUUUUUAUCUCCAAUUCUUCUAGUUUUGGUAUUCGCGGCUUCAAUGGCCCUGCGAGAAACACUUGAUUUGAUGUAUCUCUACAAACCACUGAAUUCUGUGAGCCGAGAUGAUCAGUUGCACUUCUCCACACAACCUUUUUACAUCCAUCCAUCUCUAAUUUGCAAAGAGCUGGAAGAGUCGCAAUUGAAAUUGACAAUUCUUCGCAUUCUACAAUAACAAGCAUCUCCAAUGCAGGAAGGUGCUCUGGAAAUGUUCCUUGUAGUUUAGAACAUCUUAAAAUGUGAAGCUCUCUCAAUUUAGGAAACCCUUCAACUCCCUGACUGGAUCCAUGAGGAAUCCAGUCUUCCCAUUCUUGCAAGUCUUCAAAACAAAGAGUCUCCAAGCAUGGAAAAGGAAUCGGGGAAUCAUUCCCAUAGAACUCUGAACCCAAACUCUUUACUCUACUCAUUCCACUCACUUCAAGAUGCUUUAGAGAGGGUAGUUGCCCGACUGACGGCAGGGUAGUACACACGCCGCAAUCUUGAAAAUCUAAGGUCGCUAAAUUUGAGAAUAAGGAAUCUCCCAACCAAGUUGGAAAUUCUUUACCUCCAUAGCCACCGAUACAAAUUUGUUCCAGAUUUUCAUGAGGUUUUAGCAUGUCGAGCACAUCCUUUUCAGUUUCUGCCUCCCUUGAAGACAAACCAUCGGUACUCCGUGUCCAUCGAAACCUUAACACUUUAAGAUUCUUCUUUCCAUCCAAUUGAGCCUCCUUCGCAUCACCAAUGUCUUUUACGUUCUCCAAUUUUGAAAUGUUAAGUGUCCCACGAAGAUGCGUCAACAAUUUUAGCUCUCGUAUCACGGAACCACUGUCUUCUCCCACAACAAAAUUACACAGCGUUUGAAGGCAAGUCAACUUACCAAUUCCUAGUGGCAUCUCCUCCAAUGAAUCUGUAUUUGAAUUAUCGAGAUGAUGCAAUUUGAUGAGGUUUCCCAUGUCUGCACACAACUUCUUCAGCCGCCGACAACCUUCCAAUAGAAGUGUGUGCAAAUUGUAAAGCUUUUUGACUGAUUCAGGCAGAGUUCUAAUAUCAGUUCCAGAUAGGUUGAGGUACCUUAAAUACCUCAAAUCACCAAUUGAAUCUGGUAGCUCGGAGAUGUGAUAUCCACACAAAGAGAAGACCCUCAAGCGUCGGAGUUUGAACAACUUAGGAAGAAUGCUAUGAGCCAAGUAUCCACGCGAACUAUUUGUCAACAUUACUGGUAAAAAAGUUCGCAAAUGUUGGAUAUCGUACAACUCCUCAAACCUUUUAACACCAUCGUAACCUCCACGAAUGUACGACAGAUGACGAAGAUUUCUUGGAAAGCUUUGUUGCUUGUCAACCUCUGAGAUAUCCUCCAUUCUGAAGUACAUUUCCCCAGCAGCCCAUUCAGCAAGGUCAUUGACGAGGUCAUGCAUCACAAAUCGUGAUAUGCUGUUGCUUGAUUGCUGGAAAAAAGAUCUUGCACGUAGCUCUUGAAAGAACUUUCGACCUAGAUCUUCACUUGGAUUCCCGCUCUCUCCGUGAUCCAAGAAACCCACAGCACUCCAUAAUAAAAUUAUCUCCUCCUCUUCAAAUUCAUAAUCCUUUGGAAACAAUGAGCAGUAUGCAAAGCAUUGUUUCAAAGGUGCCGAAAGAUAAUAGUAGCUCACUCUAAGCGCCGGUAUAAUGUCACAUCUCUCUUCUGGUAAAUCCCAUAUCUUGCAACUGAGCACCCCUUCCCAAUCACUCCGGUCAAGUUUACCACGCAAGAGACCACCAAGAGUUUUCGCAGCUAAGGGCAAGCCGUUGCAUUUGAUCACUAUCUUCUUGCCAAUUUCCUCCAAUAACUUGUUUGAACUGAAAUCUCUUGUCCCCAAAGAGUGUUGAGCGAACACAGACAGACAAUCAUCAUUUGACAACUUUUUCAAUUGAUAAACUGGAGCAGUCCCCAUGAUGGCUGCAACCCCUUGAUUACGAGCUGUGACAAUAAUCUUACUUCCCGGUGCGCCAGCUUCAAAUGGAGGUCUGAGUCGAUCCCAAUCAUUGUAAUUCUCAUUCCAAACGUCAUCUAAAACAAGCAAAAAUUUCUUUCCAGAUAACUUCUUCUUCAGCUCCUCGUGAAGCUUAUUCAAGUCGUGAUUAUCCACAUUCUGGUCACUAGCAAUUGAAAGUAGGAUUGAUUUUGUAAGCCUGAUAACAUCAAAAUCAUCAGAGACGCAAGUCCAUACCUUGAGAUCAAAAUGACCCUGCACUUGCUUAUCAUUGUAGACAAGCUGAGCGAGAGUGGUUUUGCCCAUCCCGCCCAUACCUAUAAUUGGAAUAACAGAGAAUUCACCAUCAUUUCUCAAAUCAUCCCUCAACAACAAUUCAACAAUUUCCUUCUUUUCGAUUUCCCUGCCAUAUACUUUGGCUUCCUUCACCAAAGAGGUUGUCUCUCGCCUUUUCCUGUCUUUUUUGGACCUUCCAACUGAACUUACGUUCAAACCGAGCGAGUCUUUCUGUGUUACAAUAUCUUGAAAUCCGUCGUUGAUCUCUUUGAUUUUGGACAUUAUGGUGUAAUCGAACUGAAUCGAUUGUGGAGUAAAAGUGGUGCAGCAAGUAGGAAUGAGCUUCCGAAACUUACUUGUUCUUGUACGACUGCUACUGGGUUGAUCAAGAGCAGCAGCUGGAUCUCGAUUUCCAAGCAGCAACUUCCUCCCGAAAGCCUCAGUUUGAAACUCAUCCAGCAAGUCUUCAACAUCAAAAGCCAAGUUCUGAAGCUCGGCAAGCCACAACUUCACAGACUGAUCAGUCUUCUUCUCCUCAGCAUCAGCAAGCACCGCCUUGAUCAUCACCAACAUAUUCUUCCACUUCUUUAGGUCGGCUUGGAUUUGCUCUUGGCGUGCAAACAGCCGAAUCCCCUCUGAAGCUAACUUAUUGACCAGCAAAUCAACGGACGCCGUAAGGAUUGCCUCUCCGAUGAAUGACAUUUUUUUCUUCUUUUUCUUUUUUUUGGUUUUGCAAAGAAAGAAAGGAGCAGAAUUAUGGGUUAUGGAAAGCAGAAUGAGAAAAUGGAUAAUUAAGCAGAAUGAGUUUGUGAUUGUGAAGGGUCUGGCCCAGCAAUCUUAGUAGAAAUCACGCGUUUAUACUUUAUUGACCAAUGACUAAUAAUUUGGCAAUUCACUCAUCACCACCACUUGGUAAAGCAAAAUAAAAAUGCUUAGUAAUUAAGUGUCAAGGGUCAAGCAAAAUACGACGCAAAAUGUGUCAAGGGUCUCCCCACUACUUGUUCCUUGCAGCUUAGAAAAGAAAAACAGAGCCCACCACCCAUUAAUAUUUAGCAAUUCACCAAUCAUCACCACUUGUUACGAAACCAUCUCAUCAACCAAGUUCGUAGGUCGAGCAGUUAAUCCAGUGUCUAUUUCCUAGAACCUUCAUCUCAUAAACCAAGUUCAAUCAAAACGUUCCUCUCUCGCUAUUUUUUUUUUUUCAAAACUCCUAAAACGUUUUCUUUUUAGAAAUAUUUUACUUUAUUCAUCUAAUAUGUUAUCUAACAAAUAGACACAAUUGAAAUCACUCUAAAGUGAAGAUGAAAGGGGAAAAAAAUAACCUUCCAACCACCAGUAAUUUUGCAAGCUUCACUUUAUUCCACCAAAGUGUAAAUAAAGCCAGCCCCCACCACCAUCAAUAAUUUUGCAAGCUUCACACGCUUGUUGUCUUCUCCUUGACGAACUGGACAUGAGUGGACCAAGAAUAAUCAAUGACAGGAUUUUCAAAAUAAUAAUAAGAGAAAAACCUACACAUUUUCGGCUUAGAGUAGAACCGUAAUUAAUGCUAAAAUCUACUCAGCUAACAUUUUCAAAAUAUUAUUCUUUAUGAUUUUCAAAACCGUGAUUAAGGUUCAUCUCAAAUGUUUGAAGAGAGUCUAACAGUUCUUCUACGCUAAGAAUAUCAAAAUUCUUACUUUUUCUUCAAACGUUGAAUAAUGAAAAAAAAAAUUGAAUAUGGAGGAAAAUAGAAUGCAUCCAUCUUUGCUAGAAGUCUUCUACUUAUAAAAGCAAGUUAGAAUAAACGAUUUUAAUCUCUCUUUUUAUUCCUGUAAGUGCACUACAUUUUUUUUUUUAAUCUCAAUGCGAAGUCGUAUCAUAAUGUUAUAUUCCUAUUGUAAAACAAAAUUUUAGAUAAAAUAAAUUCGACUCAUUUUUUAAAGGUAUAUAUUUAGUAGGUUACUAACAUAACUAACAAAUCGUGAUUAUUACACUAAAUGGAAUAAAAGACAGUACUAUCACCAAUAAUUUAGCAAGUUUCGCAUGCACGUGUUGCUAGAAACAUUAUAUGGAAUCAAACGACAGUGAUACAAAGAGAAAAGUGGAAAUCCUCUGAUUGUAUUUUUUUUUCUUUUUCAGAAGAAAUGGUGGGGUUGGUUUGUUUGCAAAGUUAUUAGCGUGGGUCUAUUUGUUUUUGUUUUAACUUUAUUAAUCAAUAAGCAAACAUGUAAUGAUUUGUAUAUAUCAUUAGCAUCACAUUAUUGGGAGGUAUUGCGCUUAGUAUUCAUAAUUUUUGUAAGAUGAAUUUGGAAGACUUAUUAAUUUUGAUGAAAAUGUAUCGGUGUUAAGAUAUUAUUUAAUUCAUUAAGUUAACUUGAGGAAAAGCAAAAUGAGAAAAUUGAGCAAUUCACCAAUUGGCAAUAUUUGUUUAAUUCAUCAAAUACUUGUAUCUCAUCUCACAAAUUGGCCAUAUUUGUUUGGUAUUUCAUCUCAACAGACGCAGUAAGGAUUGCCUCUCCGAUGGAUUGACAUUUUUUUUUUGUUUUGCAAAGAAAGAAACAGAAUUUUGAGUUUUGAAAAGCAAAAUGAGAAAAUUGAACAGUAAGUGUGGAGGGUCAAGCAAAAUGCGCGUAACAAGUCUUCCGCUUCUUGUUUAUUCCAGUAAAGCGAGAAUAAAAUCAGAGCCCACCACCCAUUAAUAAUUGAGCAAUUCACCAAUCACCAGUCGCCACCACUCGUUACCAUGAAUAUAAUAAAUUGCACCUCCAUAUUUGCAGGGUCCAGCAACAUUGACCCAGUGUCCGGGUAAAUGCUUAAUAACGAGGAAAAUGGAAUGUAUCCGCUACGAACCUUCGCUUUACAAGUCUUCAAACUCAUAAACCCAGUUAAAUCAAAACGUUUAUCUCUCUCUCUCUCUUUUUGCCAUAUAAUUACUUUAUUUAUUGAAUUAAUUUCCAUGCUAAAAGGAAGACUUAAAACUGCACUACAAUUUUUUAUAAUCACAAUGGUAAUUUCUACUAUCAUGUUAUUUUAAUAUCGUGUUAAAAUAAAUUAUUACAAAGUUUUUUUUAUGAACACUCUUUUUAUUUAUAAAUUUUUUAAUUUUUAAUAUUUUUCUUACUCUUUUAAUCUUAAUGUUUGUAUUUCGCUCUUCAAAUUUUUAUUAUUAUUUAAUUUUUAAAGAAAAAUAUGAAAAAAAAAUAAAAAAAAUAUUAUACUUAAAAAAUAGUGAAUAUUUUAUGGGUCUAAUACAAACCUGUAUUGUUUUUGACAAUGAAAGAGCACGCGAAAAAUCUCACUCAUAGAAAAUUUAGUGAAAGGCAUUUGAAUGUGUGGCCACAUUUUCCGAACGAAACGAUAAGGCUUUAGCCUUAUAAUUGCAAUUAGUUUGUCUUGUAACUAAAUUAUUGCCGACAAGCACCAUCAUGCUGACAAACCGUGCAUGCACGUCCUCAAUCACCCACGUCCUCUACUUGUGUGCAAUAUUUCCCAUUACUUCCCGUACUUUAUGCAUUAUUGUUUUGUAUGUCUUUUGUUGUUUACGGUGUAGUUAGGGAUGGUAGCGGGUUGGGUCUGGUACCGGUUUGACAUCACCAAACCCGCAUCUAAAAAAAAUUUAAUUACGUAAUUUAAAUUAUAAAUUUAUAACCGUUGCCUAAAAAAACCACAUAAAAUACUUAAUUCUACAUUUUAUCAAUGUAAAUGAGAAAUGAAAAUAUCAACAUUAAAACAAAUACAUAAAAUGUAUCAAUUUAACACCAAUUCUCAAAUUCAAUUACCAAAUAAAUAAGUACAGUGUAGCACUAAAAUAUAAUAUUUAAAUUAAAUUAAUCACAAAAAAUUAAUACAAUACAGUGUAGCACCAAACAUUGUACAUUAUUAUUAUAAUACAGUACUAAUACAACGCAACAUAAUACAAUACACCAACAUUAAAAUAAUACAAUCUAAUAUAAUACAAUACAGUGUGCGAAAUGCACCGACAUGGUAUUACUUUGUUUGUCUCGUUAUUUACAAUUAUUUAAUCUGUAGACCCACUCAUGCUCCUUCUAUGUAACAUAGAUGCAAUUUGAGGAAGAUUAUCAAUUUUUUCUGACUAAAAAUAAUAUAGACCACUUAUUUUUUAUUGUUUUUAUAAUGUUCAACAAUUCGCUUGAGAUCAAAAAAUUAAAUGAAAAGGAGUAAAUAGAUGAUUUACUUGAUGUUGUAUCUUAGAAAUAUAAAAUAUAUUUAUUUAUUAUUAAAAAUAUUUAAAAAUAAUAAAGAGUACAUAAAAAGUAUCUUAUCCUCAACAACAAGAUCAGACGACGUCAAUUCAGCAAAAUGACUUGAAUAACUUGAAAGUCCAGCAGCCGUCACCUCUUGGCGCACACAUGGCAACGUGCGUGGCUUUGGCAAGAGGUCUCCCAAAAGGACGAUUAAGAAAGAUUGCAGGACAAAUCAUGAAAAUAGUAGUACAGAUAUGCAAUGGCUAAAUUUCCUCGAUUAAGUCCAUCACAAUCAAGUCUUAGAAAUCACACCCCUGUAUUAAUUUCCAGAAAUAUGUUUGUUCCAUAUUUAUCGUGCACGUAUAUAUUGUAUGUAUUGGGAAUAGAAAGAGUGUAUGUAAAAAAUUCUUCAUUCAUCGAUUAAAACUUAAUUUAUGUACAAGGGUUAAGUGUAGUGUUUUUAAAUUUAAAAAGGACAAGUGUCAAUCCACUGAGGCUUGCCUCAAUGGCUAGAGCCACACUCCCUCACAAAGUGGUUCGAUCUCCCACAAAUACAUUAUAGAGGUUUAAUUUAAAUUUUUUUCCUCAAAUUUUGAGUGAAGACAGUUUUUCUUCCAGAAAUAGAAUUUUUCUGAGAGUUUGACGCCCCUCAAAUAUUUGAGAUGAUUAAAAUUUGAGCGGUGCUAUAUAAAAUAUAAUGUAAACUAAUCUAAAUAAUUGUAUAAUUAUAAAUAUAAUGAACAAUAGUCUCAUACAAAAAAAUGACAAGUGUAGUAAGCCCAUUUAAAUUAACUUAUAUUUGAGGGGAAAAUCUCUGUAUAUCAUAGUAUAUAUUAUAUAUCCAGUCGUGGGACCCAUACAUGGUUCCAUGUAAUUCGGCACAGUUGAACUGGAGACACUGAUUAGUUCGUUGUCUAUUUGCCAACUUAUGUACAACUAAGUAAUUUCAUGCACCAUUUGCGCCUUAUCUAUCCAGCCUGCUUGCAUUGCAUUAACUAAACAUACAAUGAAAUUAACCCUUGUAAUUUCGGCCUUUGCCAUAGUCGUUUUGUUUAUUAGGUUUAUGUUUAUCAACAUGAUAUGUUGUCAACCAUAAUCACAAUCAAGUUGUUAAUUAUUUUUUAAAUAAUGUGAAGGAACAAGAUUUUGGUCUUUGAGUGUGGAGUUAAAAAUAUCUCACCUCAACAUACGGUGUUGUGCUCUCAUCAUCUUAACAUUAUUUGUUAAAAAUUAUGUCAAAGAGGAAAGCAGAUUCAAACAUUACUUCAAUUUUCUUUAAGAGCAUAAAAAUAUCGUUAAUAGGCUACUGUUAUUUGUUAGUACGAUUUCACAAAAGGAAGCUAGAGGAAGAUGAAGCUCUCAAGUCAUGUAUGCAUCAAAGUAAGAAACAGAGCUAAUGAGAGAUGGACAAUUUUAAAUAUGUCAGCAUUUUGUCAGUUCUGGCCAUAUUUUGAAAGAUUAGAACCCUAAUUUUCUUUUGAAGCUCCUUUUAUGUCGAAAUCUAUUUUAAUUUCCAAAAUAUCUUUUUCCAUUUUUUUAGUUUCUUUCUGAUUAAAAAAAAAAUCAGUUUCUUAAACAACUCCAACUACAAAUAUUUUUUUACAAAUUUUUGAAUUAUUAAAUCAUAUGUGCGUGUAUAAAUUGAAUAGAAUUAAAAGUGGACUCAAAUAGAUAUUAUGUAAUUUUUUUAUAAUUAAAGAAAAGUUUAGAAUGCAAAAGUGUGUGUGAGAAAACAAAAAAAUAUAAAUCGCCUUUGAUAUAAUUAUAUGGUUGUAAAAAGUUAGAUGGAGAAAUAUAGUAUAUAAUUAAAUUUAUUUUGUUCCUUAAAACGGGUAGGUUUUAUAAGAAUUUUCCAGAGGAGCGCCAAUAUUUCAGCUUUUUUUUUCAAAUGAAGUGAUGUCCUGGAAUAAAAUCACUACUCUAUCAUUGCUAUUAGUUUGUCUUGUAUUUCAAUAAUUGCCGACAAGUAUUAAUUGUGAAUAUUAUUAUUAUUAUCGUCGUUAUUCUUAACAGCAAUGACUAGAAUUAUAAUAAUAACAAUAACGUUAAUACAAUAAUAUAACAACAUAAUAAUAUUUUAAUUGAGAGGAUAAAAAUAAAAUUAUGAAAUUUAGGUUGGAUAAAAAUGGUGAGUAUGAAGAAAUUAAAUUACUAUUUUUUAAGUUAAACAGUUCAUAAAUUUCACAUAUUUCAUUCUUAUUUCUCUUAUAUUUUAACAAAUAAACAUUACCAAUCGUUUUAAUAUUUUAAUUAAUAAACACGGCAUUAACUACGGAACUAAAAGAUCCCCAAAAAAAAAAAAAAUAGAGACGCGUGUAUGUAUUGCUUGUGACAAAUCUCACCCAUGGAAAACUUUGUGAAAGGCAUUUGAAUGUGUGGCCACAUUUAAUGAACGAAACGAUAACUUUAAAAGAAAGUAUGUAAUGUGUUAAUUAUUAGGCUUUAGCCUGAUGAUUGCAAUUAGUUUGUCUUUUAAUUAAAUUAUUGCCGACAAACACUAUCACGACCCACGUCCGCUACUUGUGUGAAUGUGUGUAUAAAUAUCCGCAGCAUAUUAUCAAACCUGAUGCGUGAUCAUCUUUAAGUUUUGGUUAGGGUUCAUCAGACGUUGGAAGAUAUCUUUCCUAAUUUGAAGAAGAUGGAAACUCCUUAUCCAGGUUCUUAGGCCAUGUUCAGUUGAAUGUCAUUUAUAAUUUUUAUUUUAACAUUAUGUAUUCAUGAAUACAAUUAUUGUUAUGAUUUUUUCAGGUAAGAAUGGAUGGUCUGAUAGUAACCCAAUAACUAUGUACAAUAUUAUUAAUGAUGAGAGUGUGAAUGACAAUUUGGAUUUUAUUCUCAUCCCUCAAUACGGGAAAAAUCUCGACUAUAGUGGUUAAAUGUUAUGUAACUCUUUCGUAUUAUAUUUAAUUAAAUAAAAUGAUGAGUUAUUAUUACUUAUCAAUCAUUUGAGUGUUUCUGCUUGAUUUAAUUCAACUUAUAAAAUCUCUUGAGAUAUAUAAGAGAUUUUCUUUAUUCACUUUCAUGUACCGCGUCUUCUUAUAAAAAGAAAUUAAUAAAAAAAAUAUCAUUAUGUGCAAUGUAUUGACUAAGUUACAAGAAAUUAAUAAAAAAAAUAUCAUUCUGUGCAAUGUAUUGACUAAGUUAGUGUAUUCACGUUAGCUUAAUUGUGCUCUCUCUUCUUGAUAUUUAAAAAAAAAAAAAAACUCCACGUAUUGUUGGUUAGCUAAUUCUUGCAGCUAGCAAGUGAUCCUUUUCUUUCCCCUACUGUCGUAGCAUCAAAUCCUUACAAUUACAUAUCAAGUGGUAUUCGAGCCGUCAAAUGAUCCAUGGAAACACGCAACAAAUCAAAUGCUGAAUUUUGCGAAGAGAUUCACGAAAUCCUUGCUAUACAUUGAAAUACAAGUAUGCAACCCAAGAGGGGGGGGGUGAAUUGGGAUUCUAAAAAAUUAUUCAAUUUAUUAAAGAAAAUCUUAAUGCAAUUAUAAAUCAAAUUCAAAGCAAUAACAAUUAAGAUGAUCACAAUUUAAAAAGAUAAGGGAAGAGGGAUUCGAACACCGAGAUUUUUACGUGGUUCGGCCAACCUCGCCUACGUCCACGCCUCCAAGCUUUCCGGGCUUGAGGAUUCCACUAAGCAAGCCUCCAAGGCUUCAAAUGCUUACACUUGACUUCCAAGGUGUCAAUGGACCUUUACAACAAGAGAUUAUCCCCAAUCUCUUAACCCAAGUGUAUCCCAACACUUACAAUUACUCAAAGUAAAAGAUUACAAAUUGUUUUUCUCUCACACAAUAUUUAAGAUUACAAAUCAAUGCCCAAUUUGUGAAUAGAUGAAGAGAGAAUGUGUUUUAAGCUCUAUGAAGAUUGUAUUCUCAAAUAUUUGCUCAAUGGUCGUGUUGUGUUCAAUCUUUGUUUGAAUUUGAAUGAGCUUAUUUAUAGAUGCAGCUGAAAACUAGCCGUUAUUGACUUUCUGCACACUGUCGGAUCACCGUUAGCUAGAUGUCGGAUCGCCGUUUGACUGGUCAAUAUGACCGUUGGGUUGAUUUUUCAAAUUGUCGGAUCGCCGUUAUCUAGAUGUCGGAUCGCCGUUUAGGUCCAGAGGCUACUGGUUGAUAUCGGCGAGCCGUUUAUCACACAUGUCGGUUCGCCGUUAAUGUCCAGAGACUACCCUUCAGUUCUGGUUGAUAUCGGCGAGCCGUUUUAUCAACAUAUCGGAUCGCCGUUUAGGUCCAGAGGCUACUGGUUGAUAUCGGCGAGCCGUUUAUCACAAAUGUCGGUGUGCCGUUUUCGUCCAGAGGCUAAUCUCCAUUUCUGCUUGAAAUCGGCGAGCCGUUUACUACAGAUGUCGGAUCGCCGUUUUCCACAAAAACUGCUGCAGUGAACUAUUUUGCAAGAUGACUGUUUUGUCUCCAAAUCUUUAUAAAAAUACUUUAUGAAACUUGUCAAAAUAGAUGAAAAUUAUGUUGAGCUUUUAAAACAAUUAAUCAAUCUUAAUCAUGUUUGUUAUCAUCAAAAUCAAUAAGGAAUAAUUUAUGUCAACAAUCUCCCCCUUUUUGAUGAUGACAAACUUUUCAAGAAAAUAUUUGUGCAAUUUUGCUCCCCCUAAAUAUGUGCUCCCCCUAAGUGAAAUUUUGAAAGACUUGUUAACUCCCUUAAAAAAAAUAUUCAACUGUUAAUCUCAAAAUUUUAAACACGAAAUUUAUGCCAGUAAACUCAUGCAUGCCAAUACUAUUUUGCCAAAACCAAUUUCGCAUUUUGCCAAUUGCCAAUUUCUCUCCCCCUUCAUCAUCAAAAAGAAAGAGACGCGAUGAAUGACUUAUGUUUGGAGAAAUUUGGGCAGAGUCUCCCCUGAAAUAUGAGCAUUUCCUCAACAACACACUAAGUUUAAAAAGAGAAACACUUCCAUAUAAAUAUACCACCAUAUCAACCAACCUCCAUACCAACAAAUUCACACUUCCAGAAAGAGCAAUAUAAUCAAUAUAAUACCAAAAACAACUUGAGCAUAAAUCAAGAGCACAUGUCCAACAUGAGAUAUCAGAAGCAUAAACACAAAAUAAAUAACAUCAUAUGCAUAAGGCAAAUAACAUGAAAUGAGAAAUGUCUGUGCGAAUAUCAUAGGGACAGAGAAAACUAAGAUGGAGGCUGUGAAGACGAACUGCCGGGGUCAUAUCCAAGGUGGCCGAGAAUGCGACGCUGUCCUGCAAUUAACUCCAUCUGCUGAUCAGAAAUUUGCUCCCGAAAGGUUGCAAAAUCAGAUCGAAGCUGCUACUGCUGCUGGGACAGGGCAUCUACUCGGUCGAGAAGCUGCUGGAAGCGAUCCUCAGGAACAGCUGAUGCCGCAGGAGGGACGGCAGUCUCGGUAGGCUCGUCAUCCUGAGAUGCAUCUGCUGCUGGUGAAACAGGAGCUGCUGGUGCUGCUGCUCGGCGAGGAACACGCGGUCUAGCCCCAAGACGGAAAUCAGGCAGCUCAUCCUCGGAGUAGACAUCAUUCAGCAUGCGAUCAUCCUCGGGUGCAAUCAGUGUGGCUUCGUUUUUGGAGGAUGUGGUCUUUUCCCAUUUCCCACGCUUCUUAAAGAAACCAAUGGCAGAAAUAAUGUCUCGACCGAGCUUACGAGUUUCGAGAAAAACAGGCUCGACGAUAGGAACAUGAAAGUGGUUCAGGAUCCUAGUGAUGAUGCUGCCAUAAGGAAGGGAUCGGUUGGAGACUUUAGGAGUGGACAGCAUAUGACACAUAAUAGUGUAGGAUAGGCUCACAUGGCGUCUACGGAUGAGAGAGUCUAAAAGACCAAUAUCAAGCCUAGUGACCUCAUCAGUGUGCCCCUGUCUAGGAGUGACCAUGUGUUGGAGAAUAAUGUGAAGUAUUCGAAUCUGAAAAGGGAGGAGUUGAGACCUAAAGGACAAAGAGCAGAUGUCAUCGGAAAGAUCCCGACGACGACAAAUGUUCCGUACACCAUCCACAUGACGAAAAUUACUGAACUCUAGUUCUUUCCUAGAGGUGUACAGAUCUAAUCCUCCAUAAGCGAUUCCUAGAAUACUACAUAAUUCGGGUUCAUCAAGCUCAAUACGAAUACCUCCUACAAAUGUAUGAAGCUCGUCACGACUAGAAGAGGAGAAAUCUAUGUUUGAAUAAAAGACUCGAACAAGAUUUUCAUAAAUAGGUUCAUCAACACUUAAAGCUUGAUUCCAAUGACUAAGCAUUUGAGUAAUUGAGUGACCACAAACAGAAAUAUCCGAGAACUCCGAAAUGUUAAGAGAAAAAGAGGGAGUUACGGGUUUACCCAUAAACUUCUCACGGAAUCGCUGAGCAGAGGUAGCAUCGGGAAAAUGAAGACUUUCGAAGUCUUGAGGAGGAGACCUGGGUGGACUGGAACGGCGUGAAGCAGUGUGCUUGGUUCGAACACGCCUUGGAGGUCGUUCCGCCAUGGAUGAGAAAAAUUGUGAAAAUGAAGUUUUAGAGAUGAGAUAGUGAUUUGUGGGUGAAAAUGUGGUUGGAAAGACGAAGAAAUUUGGGUCAAAGUGAACGAAUGAGAGUCGGCUGGUUCUAGGGUUUCAAGAUGAGAUUUUUCAAAAUUUGAAGAAAAAAAAAAAAGGAAUUUGAAUCGGUUAAAAGGUGUUAGAGAUGAUAGAAAUGGUUUGUAAUGCUUCAAUUUGGUGAAAAAAAUGACAAGAAAAGUGAUGGAUUUGAGAGGAGAGAACUGGUGCAGUCGCGGGUUGAAGUGAGAGAGAGAGAGAAAGAGAAGCCGAAAUGAGGAGGAAGACGAAGGACUGUUCAAUUAACGCGUGAUAACGGCGAGCCGUUAUAAAGAAAACGGCGAGCCGACAGAGUCCAGAGAGUCCUCAAAACAAAUUCAUAAAAACGGCGAGCCGCUUAUAUCAAUAACGGUGAGCCGAUAGGGUCCAGAGAGUCCACACAAGAAAAAUGUAACAGGACGGCGAGCCGAUAGACAGAUAUCGGCGAACCGAUAGCUUCCAGAAAGCGUUCCAUUGUUUCUGCCCAAAACGGUUAGCCGUUUAUUUAAAUAACGGCGAUCCGUUUUCUACAACCUAUGAUUUCGCACAUGUAUUUUGAUAUUUGGCUACUUAUUAAUACAUUUCAAGAUCAUUUUAUUGAUCCAAAAUGAUUUGAGUGCCAUUUCAAUGCAUAAUUCAUGAAUAUAUAUAUAUGUAUUGCAAUAAUUAAUUCAUACAUUUUCAAAUAUACAUACACAUUACAUGCAUAUUACGAUUGAGCAUUCCAUAGAAAUUAAAGCAUCAAGUCAUAGAUCAAUCAAUAAUAAUAGACUCAAUAGCAUGAAUGAAGAUGUUAAUGUGAAAAUUUCAUCAUCCCAAGUUCAUGCCGAAUUUUGGAAAAUUGUUCUUCGCAAAGAGGUUUUGUAAAAAUAUCGGCAAGUUGUUUUUCCGUAGAAAUAAACUCUAGUGCAAUGUCUCUCUUUUGAACAUGAUCUCUCAAGAAAUGAUGUCUUAUUUCUAUAUGCUUGGUUCGAGAGUGUUGAAUGGGAUUCUUUGAAAGAUUAAUAGCACUAGUAUUAUCACACUUAAUAGGAAUUUGUUCAAGAUUAAUGCCAUAAUCUCUAAGUGUUUGUUUCAUCCAAAGAGCUUGUGCACAACAACUUCCGGCAACUAUAUAUUCAGCCUCGGUAGUUGAAAGUGCGACAGAAUUUUGUUUCUUGCUAAACUAUGAAACAAGAGAGUGUCCUAGAAUAUAGCAAGUUCCACUAGUGCUCUUCCUAUCCACUUUAUAACCAGCAAAAUCCGCAUCCGAAAAACAUGUUAAAUCUAUAUGAGUUCCCCUAGGAUACCAAAGGCCAAUAUCUAUGGUUCCACUCAAAUAACGGAAAAUUCUUUUAACAGCGAGCAAAUGAGAUUCCUUGGGACAUGACUGAAAUCUUGCACACAAACAUACACUAAACAUGAUAUCGGGUCUACUUGCAGUCAAAUAAAGUAGGGAUCCGAUCAUACCUCGAUACAUUUUGAUGUCCACUUCUUUACCUUUUUCAUCUUUGUCCAGCUUGGUUGUUGUGCUCAUUGGUGUAUUUUUGGUCUUUGAGUCAUUAAUGCCGAAUCGUUUGAGUAGAUCUUUUACGUACUUGGCUUGAUUUAUGAAGAUUCCUUCCUCGUUUUGUUUGAUUUGAAGUCCAAGGAAGUACUUCAACUCUCCCAUCAUACUCAUCUCAAAUUCUUUGCUCAUACACGAUGAAAAUUCUUUACACAACAACUCAUUAGUAGAACCAAAAAUAAUAUCAUCAACAUAAAUUUGAACAAUAAGUAUGUCUUGGUUCUUAUGCUUAACAAAUAGAGUAGUAUCCGCUUUACCCAUUGAAAAGUCAUUUUCCAACAGAAAAUUCUUAAGUCUAUCAUACCAUGCUCUAGGUGCUUGUUUUAAACCAUACAAAGCUUUAAGCAACUUAUAAACAUGAUUUGGAAAUUUUUCAUUUUCAAAACCAGGGGGUUGUUUUACAUACACUUCUUCCAUAAUAUGCCCAUUUAGGAAAGCACUUUUCACAUCCAUUUGAAAUAAAAUAAAAUCUUUAUGACAUGCAUAUGCUAAUAACAUCCUAAUGGAUUCUAACCUUGCUACAGGAGCAAAGGUUUCAUCAAAAUCAAUUCCUUCUUCUUGGUUGUAGCCUUGAGCCACUAAUCUAGCUUUAUUUCUUACAAUCACACCGGAUUCAUCCAUCUUAUUCCUAAACACCCAUUUAGUACCUAUUACAGAUUGAUAUUCAGGUUUAGGAACUAAUUCCCACACAUUGUUUCUUUCAAAUUGAUUUCACUCCUCUUGCAUUGCCAUAAUCCAAGAUUCAUCAUUUUCUGCAUCCUCAAAGGAUUUUGGUUCAAUUUGAGAGAUGAAUGCAUUAUGCUCACAAGUAUUUCUAAGUGAUGAUCUAGUUGUAAUACCUCGUGAGGGAUCUCCUAAAAUUACAUCUUUAGGGUGAGAAGAGACAUACCUCCACUCCUUGGGGAGUGUUUGAGAAGUACCUUUAUUUUGCUCUGCAUUUAGUUCUUCAUGAUGUUCCUCUUGAAUUUCAUGUGGUGCAUCCUCUUGUUUGUCAUUUGAUGCUUCUUCUUCUUGUUCUUCUUCUCCUGCAUCAUCAUCAACAACGACUUUCUCCGUAGAGGAGGGGUUAGACUCAUCAAAUGUCACAUGCAUAGAUUCUUCCACAACUAAGGUUCUUUUGUUAUAGACUCUAUAAGCUUUACUAGAAUUUGAAUAACCAAGAAAAAUACCAACAUCGGAUUUUGGAUCAAAUUUACCAAGAUUGUCUUUUGUGUUCAAAACAAAACAUUUGCAUCCAAAAACUUUAAAAUAUCCAAUGUUGGGUUUUCUAUCUUUCCAAAGCUCAUAAGGAGUUUUGUUAAGAUUAGGUCUAAUCAACACCCGAUUUAAAACAUAACAAGCGGUGUUGACGGCUUCGGCCCAAAAAUAUUUUGGUAAUGCAUUUUCAUUUAAUAUGGUCCUAGCCAUUUCUUGAAUAGACCUAUUCUUUCUCUCAACAACUCCAUUUUGUUGUGGAGUUCUAGGUGAUGAAAAUUGAUGCUCAAUGCCUAGAUUAUUGCAAAAACUCUCAAAUGCAUGAUUUUCAAAUUCUCCUCCAUGAUCACUCCUAAUGCAUACAAUACCAUGCCCUUUUUCAUUUUGUAAUUUCUUACAAAGCACUUUAAAAGCAUCAAGAGCAUCAUCCUUAUUGGCUAAGAAUAAUACCCAUGUAUAUAUAGAAUAAUCAUCCACUAUCACAAAUGCAUAAUAUUUGCCAUUUAGACUUGCAUAUCUAGAUGGCCCAAAAAGAUCUAUGUGAAGAAGUUCAAGUGGUUUUGAAGUAGAAAUAUGGUUUUUAUUCUUGAAAGAAGUUUUAAUUUGUUUUCCAAAUUGACAAGCUUCACAAAUCUUAUCCUUUUGAAAACCAAUUUUCGGAAGACCUUUAACUAAAUUAUCUUUCAAAAUUUUUGAAAUCAAAUCCAUACUUGCAUGUCCUAACCUUCUAUGCCAUAACCAACAAUCAUCAUGCAAUGCCGAAAAACAUUUAUCAAGAGUAGAUGCACAUUCUAUGUCAAUGAUAUAAACAUUACCACAUCUAUUUCCAACAAAUAAGGUUUUGCCAUCACAUGAGUUCUCAAUAACACAACUAAAUUUAUCAAAGAUAACUUUAUAACCUUUGUCACAUAAUUGACUAAUGCUAAUUAAGUUGUGUUUCAAGUUUUCAACCAAACAUACAUUCUCAAUUAGAGUUGAAGAAACUUUACCAACAUUUCCAAUUCCAAGGAUUUUUCCUUUUGAGUUGUCUCCAAAGGAUACGUCUCCACCAUUUUCAAUUUUGGUAAAGCUUGAGAACCAUGCAUAGUUUCCGGUCAUGUGCCUUGAACAACCGCUGUCCAAGUACCAUUUAUUCUUCUUCUUCUUCAAGCCCUACAAGAAAAAGUCUCAAGUUUUAGGUACCCAAAGCUUUUUGGGUCCUUGAGAGUUAGCAACUGUUCCUUUUGGAACCCAAAUGCACUUGACACCAUAAUAUGCAUUCCUUUUCACGGGACAUCUAAAUUUCAUGUGACCAUUUUGAUUACAAUAAUGACAUACAAUCUUAUGAUCAUUUGUGGAGGUAGCUUUAACAAAAUAAUUCUUAUAAUACUUUUGCUUCAAGUUUGGCUUAUAUCCAAGUCCUCCUUUAUCAAAAACACAUUUUUGUGAGUUAAGCAUAUUAUCCAACAUCUUUUGCCCAUUUGUAAAUUUCAAAACAAUUUCAUUUAAUUCAUUAUUCUUUUUCUUGAGCAAUUCGUUCUCAUUUUUCAACUCAUCUAUGUGUGAUUUCAAAUGCUCAUGUAAGAUGCUAGGUUUUUCAUUUGAUAAUGCAAUUUCAUCAUGCAAUGUUUUGUUUCCUACUUCUAGGCAUACAAUUCUUGCAUUUAGAGAUUCAUUUUCAUUUUUAAGCUUUGCCAUUUCCUUUUUAAGACAUACAUUCUUUUUACCAAUUUUCAUCAACUCAUUAUGCAAAUCUUGAAAAGCAUCAUAUAAUUCAUCAUAGGUAGGAUCACUUACCUCAUUGAGAUCAUCAUCCCCUCCUAUAGCCAUGAGUGCUAGGUUUGAUACUUCUUGCGAUCCUUCUUCAUCAUUUGUUCUUCCUCACUAUCAUCCCAAGUUGCAACCAUUGCUUUCUUCUUGAGUUUGUUGAUGAGUGGGCACUCCGAUCUUAUAUGUCCAGGCUUCUUGCAUUCAUAGCAAGUGAUUGCCUCCUUCUUCUCCCUAUAGUUCUUGAAGUUUCUGAAAUUUCUUCGCUCUCCGGUUUUCUUGAAGAAUUUUUUGAACCUCCUUGCUAGCAUGGCUAGUUCUUCAUCAUCCGGUUCACUCUCCUCAUCACUCUCAUAUUUUGAAGCUUUGAGAGCAAUGCUUUUCUUCUUCUCCUCAUGUCCUUUUUCUGCAGCUAAAUCCUCUUCAUACGAAAUAAGAGAACCAAUUAAAUCAUCAAGAGGUAAAGUAUUUAAAUCUUUGGCCUCUUCAAUAGCGGUUCUUUUAGGUCUCCAUUCUUUUGGAAGUGACCUAAUGAUUUUCUUAACUUUCUCACUAUUUGAGAAGGUUUUCCCUAAGGCACCUAGGGUGUUCACUAUGUCCGUGAAUCUAGUGUACAUAGAAUACACAUUUUCAUUUUGUUCCAUUUGGAACAACUCAUAUUGGCGAGUGUAUCUACUGAUUUUAGACUCUUUCACUUGAUUUGUCCCUUCAUAGACAACUUCAAGUUUGUGCCAUAUCUCUUGUGCACUUUCACAACUAGAUACUCUAUGGAAUUCUUUCUUAUCAAGGGCACAAAACAAAGCAUUCAUAGCCUUGGAGUUUAGAGACAUCUUUCUCUUUUCUAACUCACUCCAUUGACUCGAUGGUUUAGGAAUAUCAUCUCCUAUUUCAUCUUUGAACAUAGGCAUGAAUGGACCAUCACAAACAACUUCCCAAAUUUCAUAAUCUAAGGCUUGCAAAUAGAUUCUCAUUCUAGUUUUCCAAUAAGCAUAAUCAUUACCAUAAAAAAAUGGUGGUCUAGUUGUGGAUUGCCCUUCUCUAAAGGUUGAGUCAUUUAGGGUUGCCAUGGAUCUUUUACUCUAGACGAUUAAGUCUUAACAAGAGAACAAGGCUCUGAUACCAAUUGAAAUACAAGUAUGCAACCCAAGAGGGGGGGGGGUGAAUUGGGAUUCUAAAAAAUUAUUCAAUUUAUUAAAGAAAAUCUUAAUGCAAUUAUAAAUCAAAUUCAAAGCAAUAACAAUUAAGAUGAUCACAAUUUAAAAAGAUAAGGGAAGAGGGAUUCGAACACCGAGAUUUUUACGUGGUUCGGCCAACCUCGCCUACGUCCACGCCUCCAAGCUUUCCGGGCUUGAGGAUUCCACUAAGCAAGCCUCCAAGGCUUCAAAUGCUUACACUUGACUUCCAAGGUGUCAAUGGACCUUUACAACAAGAGAUUAUCCCCAAUCUCUUAACCCAAGUGUAUCCCAACACUUACAAUUACUCAAAGUAAAAGAUUACAAAUUGUUUUUCUCUCACACAAUAUUUAAGAUUACAAAUCAAUGCCCAAUUUGUGAAUAGAUGAAGAGAGAAUGUGUUUUAAGCUCUAUGAAGAUUGUAUUCUCAAAUAUUUGCUCAAUGGUCGUGUUGUGUUCAAUCUUUGUUUGAAUUUGAAUGAGCUUAUUUAUAGAUGCAGCUGAAAACUAGCCGUUAUUGACUUUCUGCACACUGUCGGAUCACUGUUAGCUAGCUGUCGGAUCGCCGUUUGACUGGUCAAUAUGACCGUUGGGCUGAUUUUUCAAAUUGUCGGAUCGCCGUUAUCUAGAUGUCGGAUCGCCGUUUAGGUCCAGAGGCUACUGGUUGAUAUCGGCGAGCCGUUUAUCACACAUGUCGGUUCGCCGUUAAUGUCCAGAGACUACCCUUCAGUUCUGGUUGAUAUCGGCGAGCCGUUUUAUCAACAUAUCGGAUCGCCGUUUAGGUCCAGAGGCUACUGGUUGAUAUCGGCGAGCCGUUUAUCACAAAUGUCGGUGUGCCGUUUUCGUCCAGAGGCUAAUCUCCAUUUCUGCUUGAAAUCGGCGAGCCGUUUACUACAGAUGUCGGAUCGCCGUUUUCCACAAAAACUGCUGCAGUGAACUAUUUUGCAAGAUGACUGUUUUGUCUCCAAAUCUUUAUAAAAAUACUUUAUGAAACUUGUCAAAAUAGAUGAAAAUUAUGUUGAGCUUUUAAAACAAUUAAUCAAUCUUAAUCAUGUUUGUUAUCAUCAAAAUCAAUAAGGAAUAAUUUAUGUCAACAAUUAGUGGACUAAAAAACGCGCAUACGGUACAUGCAACACAUGCGAUUAUUUUACUAGACCUGCGUUCACCAAAAACAGAUCAGAGACGCCGGUGGUUUUGCCGGCGUAAACCCUCCGAUGCCUAAGUUAGCACAAGGUGUUUACGGGAAAACAGUACAAUUUGGAUUCAAGAAGUUUGUUCGAAAUUUGUAAGAAAAUGGCCUGGUUGCAAUUUGGCAGCGUUUUCCCCUCUUUUCCUUUUCCCUUUCUUCAUCCAUUUCUUCUUCUUUUAUAGCCAUUGUCCCACGUUUUCGUUUACCUUUCAUCCCUCCUUUUUUGGGUAGUGGCGGCCCCUCAUGGGACUCUAACUGCUACAUUAUGGGCAAACGCAAGGCCCCGCGUUUCCCGUAACGGUUCUGGGAAAAGCGCAACUACCGUGAUUCUGUGGGAUCGUGUUCCCGCUUUUUUGGGAGAUGGGUGUUGGCUCGGCAUAUAACCCUGGUCGGUGUAUUUCUCCGGUUGGCACUCGUCUCUGGUCGGCUCGUGUUUGUCCCCGCAUUCUGUUCGUACCACUUGGCUGAGGUGAUUUUAUGAUUAAAAUAAAAAAUACAAACAUUUAAAUAAGAAUGUCCGACACUUGCACAACUAUUUACCAAAUUUUUUCUCUAUAAAAAUCGACCUGCAACUUUCAAUAGGUUUAAAUUUAUAAUAUUAAACUUGAUUGCAGCUCGCAAAAAUUAUCUGUUGCGGCCAAGACUUUGGAUUUGCGAUGAUUUUGCCACCCUAAGUGUAGUUAGUAUUGUAUAUCAUGUGGCUCUUAGAAAAAGCCUAGAAGUUGUUUGAAUAACGGGGGAGACACAUAUCUCCCAAAGAUUUUCUCUUUUUCAAAUUAUUAUUUUUUCUCUAUUAUUGUAACUUCGAAUCCUUAUAAAUUACAGAUUGGAGACAUGAACACAAUGUUUUGACAUAGUGGACUUUUGGCUUGUCCAGAGAAAUUUAGGAUAGAUUUUUACGCACUAAGGCUCUAUUUACUAUUGAGGUUUUAGAACUUUUAAGCCACACUAGAAAUUUGUAUUGUUUUGAUAGAGUUGUAGUCUUUGAUAUGUGAUUGGUAUUAAUCAAGUGUUAUGUUUACAAUAGUUAAAGGCAUAUUGAAUCAAAAUCCACUUCUAAGGGCUUGAUUGAGUGAUUGUAAAGUAGGUUUUUAGUUUGCUAGCCACUCAAGUUCAAAUAUUGGAACCACAGAGCUUUAUAGCCAAGUGAGAGAACUUGUGCCCUAAAAAUUGAGGGGUGCAUAUCGAGUUUUACCACCAAUAAAUGUUGGUGUUAAAACUUUAAUUUCUCUCCUAUCGAUGGAUAAGGGUGAUUAGGAGUUUACAUUCCCUCCUAUUAAUAGACAGGGGUUAUUAGGAAUAUUAAAAAAAAGUUCAAAUAUUGAAAAUAUAGGUAUGGGUUAUAAAAUUCAUAAUAUAAAGACACAAAAUCAAGAUAAAGAUUUAAAAAUUUAGAACCAUGAGAGCGUGACUUGUAAGUUUCAAAGAAGCAUGUGCAAAUAUAUGCAUUAUCGAUGCCUAAUUAAGGGUGGACAUUAAGAUCGGGUUAACCCGAACCGAACCGAACUUAAAAUGUAUUUUGGAUUCAAUUUGGUUAUGGUUGAAGCUUUCAACUGAGUUCAAAACUUAAAAAUGAUUGAGUUGUAUUUCUGUUCGAAUUUAACCCCAAAAGACAACUAACCCUAACUAAAAUGUUCGACCGCGGCCUCCUCGUUUUCUUUUCUUCUUCCUCCUCUCGCUCACCCCUAAUGCCCUUCAUGGAAAUCCAACAGCUCCAAACGCGUUUCGGCCGCUCGCACGUGUGAGAAAUUUUCGUUCUCAUAGGAUUAUUCGUUUCCUUCGCCUGCAUGCCAGCAGAAUAUUCAGGCCGAGGAUUUUUCCGGGCCUAGCCCAACUAUAAGCUCUCCCAAAACCCAAUCAUAAGUUCAUAACCGUUUAGCGUUUGCUAUUAUUAUAAUUUUUUUAACCAAUUUUCACAUUCAUCAACAUAGGCUGACAGAUUUUGUAGAAAAUAAAAUUAAAUAAAAAUACGAGCUCACGAAAUUCCUUUUCCGAUGUGGGAAUCUAUCUACACCUUUCACGUGCUUUUUUUUUGGUGUGUGUUGGGGGGGAGGGGGGGGGGGGGUGUAAUUCACUUGCUUUUGUUUGCAUUGCCUUAAUGGAUAAAAGUUUGUAGAACAUCGUCUGUUUGGUUAAAGCCGAGCAUGAGUGAAGAAAAAUUAGAAAUAAAUAAUUUCCCAUAAAUUUGCAACAAGUAUUAAUAAAGUGCAUGAAAAAAGACACCAAGAUAUGCCUUUUUUUAAAUGAAAAUAAAUGUGUUAAUUAGUCUAUUUAAAUGGUAUGAUAUUUUGAAAUGAUAGAAGUGAUCUAAAGUUUAAAUCUUUACUCACACUUAAUUUACGGUUGGCGAUUAAUUGACGUAAUAUAUAAUAACGAAUUCGAAAGACAAUUAAAAAUUAAAAGAGAAUAAAAAAGUGCUUUCUUUUUUAUGAUGGUAAUUUGUUUAGAUGAUGAAAACUCUUAGAGUUGUAUUAUCAAUACAUAGUUUCAAGGGUUGGCAAUGUGAAUAAUAUUUAAUUUCCUUUAUAUAGUUAUAUCUUAACUAUCAUUUAAACAGAAGUAAGUUGUAAAAAAAAUGAACCAUUGAGAUUUGAGAGAAUAAAAAACUAAAAAAAAAAAGUUAAAAAAUUAGAUUUCAAUAAAUUUACUUGAGAACUACUUUACUGAUUAAUGAAGAGAAAAUACAAAGAAUAAUGAUGUAUCUCAAUUAAUCAGAUAAAUUUUGUAUUUUUUGUUUAUUCCAGAAUCACGAAACUUCAUUUAAACUUGUUAUUUCAUUGAUAAUAUAUUAAUAUUAAACAAUUAAUGUAGGAGACAUUUUUUUCCAAUUAUGCCCAUAUAUUAAUUAAAGACCACCAAAAAGUUCAGGGAUACUAUAGUAAUUUAAGUCAAUAAUUUCUGUGCUUGAAAUCAGCCAAUCAAACUCAUUUUAGAAUAAACUGAGAAAUCAAAAUCACAUUCUCCGAUUCUACGAUUUCAAUUCAUCUUAUUUCUUCAACUGAAAAAUUGGUUGUAUUUCGUUUUAUUUUUUUUUUAUUUUUAUAUAAAGAUAAAUAUAAAAUAUAAAUGACGAGGAUACUGUAAAAAUAAAAUCAAAAGAAGAGCACAAAUUUUAUUGAAAAUGACUCUUUUCAUCAUUUUGCCGGAGUGAAUGUAUCUACAUAUAAACUAAAGAAGCACAUUUGUUUGUAUUAGUUUUUUUAUUAUAUUUUUAAUAAUAAGUCAUUUGUCACUGAACUUAUAUCAAUUUUUACGAAAAUAAUAGGUGUUAGUUAGUUUAUUCAAAUGGCUAAACCUCUUGGGAUAGAGCUUGUAAUUUAGUGGCUCAUGAAUUGUCUAAAAUAAUAUAGUAAUUUAAACUAACAGUUUCUGUGCUUCAAAUCAUCAAAUCAAACUCACACCUCAGAAAAGCAGAGAAAUCAAACUCAUGGUUUCCGACUCUACGCUUUAAAUUCAGCUUCAUUUCUUCAACUGAAGAAUCGGUCGUCUCUCAUUUUUUAUUUAUUAUAUAAAGAUAAAUAUAUAAAUUUAAAUGGCGAGAAGAGCGGACGAGGAAUACGAUUACUUGUUCAAAGUGGUAUUAAUCGGCGAUUCGGGAGUCGGCAAAUCGAACUUACUCUCCCGAUUUACUCGUAACGAGUUCUGUUUGGAGUCCAAAUCCACUAUUGGCGUCGAAUUCGCCACCCGCACUCUUCAAGUAACUAACUUUUCCUCUUUCACUUCUCUUCAUUUUUAUUAGUUAAUUAAGAUCCAGUUAAUGUAAUUAAUUUUAUUUAAUCUUUUAAAUAAAGUUCUAGAUUAGGCUAACUUAGAUUCAUGUGAAGUUGAAGUGAUUUACUUUCGAUCUCUUUUUGGUCCUAUGUUUAUUUGUACUUACUAUUACUUUUUUUUGGGUUUAAAUUUUCGUUUUUGAAGUGUUUACUGAAUAAAUUUCUGAGCUUUAUUUGUGUAUGCUGAUUGAUUUGUGAUUUUAAUUUUGUGACUUUUUUUUUGGAAUUUAAAUUUGAAUGCUUUUUAAGUUGAAUCUGAAUGUGUUGGGCUGCGAUUUAAUUAAGUCAUCUGUGAGUGCCAAAUUGUGAUAGCUAUAUAUUGGGGUGAAAAUUUGGGAUUUAAAGUUAUGUAUUUAAGAUGCAGUUAAUUCGCAAGUGAAAAUUAUGGGCCGGCAGGUUUUGUCAUUGGAAGACUGUUCUCCACAUGUUGAAGUUAGUGAUGCAAGUUGAAACCAAUCUGUUUAAGCUUGGGGUUUCAUGUCUUGAAUCAAGGCUGUGACUUGGGGUGGGUUGAAAGUAUUAUAGCUUUAGCUAUUCCUGAAGUAAUCUGUUUAGACUCACCGUGAUGAGACCGAGUGCUGUACAGCAAAAUGAAAGGAAGUUGGAAAAUAUUUACUUAGCAUUUCGUGUUACUAAUGUUGAACUAAUAAAACCUAGCCCCUAUUCUAGUGAAUUUAUGUUAAAAAGCUAUGCACGCAUUAAGUUAGUGCGAGAGUCUGCUGAAGCAUAUGUCAGCUGUGUGUUUGGCGCUGAGUAUUCUUCAUUCCACAUUUUGGGUUUUGGUUGACCUCCAGCAUGGCUCAACCCACUUGAGUUAAAAGCCCUAGAGUUACAUUCUACCCAUGAUAUUUGAGUUUAUCAGGUCACCUUAUUUUAAUACUUCUCUGGAAAACAAAUAUAUAUGUUAAAUCAGGUAGGAAAAAUAAAAAGUUAAUUAUUGAGUUGUAAUGGUGCAACUAAGGUUUUGAAACAUUAAGAUCUUUAGCCAUUAUGUUACUAUCCCGUAGUUAUUUAAGUUACAAGAGAUAGUAAAAACUAACAUCAUAUUUUAAUUACUUACACUAAUCCUACAAGUGCUGAUGGUCUAAAGUUGCUGCUGCUUGCACCGAAUCAGUGGUCAUGGGCCAGCCAAGGUUAGGUGAGCCAACUCAUUAGCUUGUGAAACUUAAAGAAGUCUUAGGUUUGGAAAAGAUGGGGCACAGGUUACAAAAAUUUUUUGAGUUUUGGAUUGAAGGAACAAAAUUGUUGAUGUCUAGCUCACAAUAUUUGAAGUCACUCUGUGCUUCAUCGUGUAAAAUGGAUUGAAUUGCUGUAAGAUCAGGUCAAAUUAAAAUGUUUAAACUCAUUUUUAAGAAACGAAUUCUCAAUUGGACCAGCCUUUCACAGAAGCUGAUAUCGCAGAAGCUUUGAGUCAGAUGCAUCCAACCAAAGCCCCUGGCCCAGAUGGUCUCCCAGCAGUAUUUUUCCAAAAUCUUUAGAAUUCAGUAAGCGAAGGAGUUAUAGCCACUUGUCUGCAUAUCCUCAAUGAUGGAGGUAAUAUUGCUCCUUUGAAUCAUACAUACAUUGCUUUAAUCCCCAAGAUAGCAAAACCUAGGACUCUGAUGGAGUAUAGACCAAUCAGCAUAUGUAAUGUAAUUUAUAGGAUCAUUGCAAAGACUAUAGCGAAUAGGCUGAAGCUAAUCUUAGAUCAUGUUAUUUUGCCAACUCAGAGUGCUUUUAUGCCAAAUAGGCUCAUAACUGAUAAUAUAAUUAUUGGGCAUGAGUGUCUUCAUAAGUGGACAAAGCUAAGUUCCAGAGGUGAGAUAGGAAAUUCUCCCGCACGACACAGCAGAAACAAACUUUCCCUUUCAUUUUCUUUUCUCUUUCUCGCUCUCCAAACAGAGCAAAAGGACCGUCGCAAGAUUCUUCACUUCCAUCCAAAAUCAUGAGCAACGAAUAGUGAGCCUCCCUGUUUCCUUCCUUUUUUUGAUAUUAACAUUGUUAACAUAUACUCAUUUUAUUUUGACAAUACUUCAACUUUUUUUAUUUUUUUGCCUUUUCAUUUUUUUUGUUGAAGCAAUUAUCUGUUCAAGCUGUUGCUAAUCGGAGACUCGUCCGUCGGAAAGUCCUGCCUGCUGCCCCGAUUUGCUGUCUGUUGACUUUUCCUUUCCCUUCUUAUUUUCUUUUUUUAUAUUAAUUACUUUCUAUUUUAGCUUUUUGUUCUCUGAAUUUGUGUUAUUAAAAUGAUAAUUUAGAUGAUAAAUAAUUGUUAUUCUUGUAAAUUUCGGUUUUCAUUACAUUAAUUGUUAGUUUUUAGGUUUAUUAAUGUAAUUUUUUUUUUCAAUUUUUCAGGAUGAUUCUUAUGUCACAGCUACAUCAGUACCAUUGGAGUUGAUUUUGUGAGCCUCUCUUCUAUAUAUAUGUAUAUAUGUGUAUAAGUUAUAAUAUGAGUCUAUGUACGUGUAUGUAUGUAUGUGUAUGUAUAUGUGGAAAGAAAUUUGGCAGACUUCAGCAUUUUACUCUCUUUUUUUUUUUUUUUGGCAGAAAAUAAGAACUGUGGAGCUGGAUGGGAAGACGAUCAAACUGCAGAUUGUGAGUCAAAAUUUCCUUUUAUCUUGUAUUGAGAGAAAUUCGAUUUGUCUUAUUUAGUGAAGGUUAUGCUCAAGAACCUUGUCUUAUUUUCUUUGUUUGAAGAGUGAUAUGUUGAAAUGAGUGUAUUUGUCUUAUAAACAUCAUUUAGGUAAUGUCUUAUGUUUGAUUGUUUUUCAUCUGUUUAGUGGGACACUGCUGGACAGGAGCGAUUCAGGACUAUAACUAGCAGUUAUUACCAAGGAGCCCAUGGAAUCAUAGUAAGGAGCCUUCCCGGUUCUUGGUUUAAAUCAGAAAGUUUGUGAUUUACAUGUGACAUCUUAACAGCAUUGUAUGUGUUUAUUAACUUAUUUUUCAUCUUUCAUUAAGCAGUACAUUUUCCAAUAAAUCUGUAUACAAGAUGAUGUAGUCCAAGAAUGGGAGCCAUAAUAUGAUGCAAAUUGUCUAAUAAAUUCUUAUGACAUAUGAUGUUGUCGGAAGUAAAAGUCUUGCAAUGCUGUAUUCUCUUUUAAGAAAGAAUAAGUGGUAAUUUUGUUUUUCCAAUUUUUUAAUUGAGCAACUGUAUGAGAUUUUAAUUAAAUGUGUUGGGAUUUCAACAGAUUGUCUAUGAUGUAACUGGGAUGGAGAGCUUCAAUAAUGUCAAGCAGUGGUUGAAUGAGAUUGACAGAUACGCAAAUGACAGUGUAUGCAAGCUUCUAGUUGGGAACAAAUGCGAUUUAGUUGUGAACAAGGUUGUGGACACACAGACAGCCAAGGUAUAUUCAUGACUUUUGUCGCCUGAACUUUGAAUAUAAUUUUAAACUCUUCUCAAGUGCAUUUGCUUGGUAAGUUUCUGCAUACCCAGGACACUCAAACUUUAGACAGUCUGUAUCUCGAGUUGGAAUCUUUUCUGUCAAUACGACUUGUUAAAAUAAGGGUUAUUAUCGUUUGAAUCAUUCAAGAAUUGCAAUAAAUCUAAAGUCCAUAAAAAAUAUGAUUCCAUCAUUUUACUAUUAUAUCUAGACAAAACCCAUUAUUUUACUACGUUUCAUUGGCACCGAUAGUUGACCUGUUGGCUGACUGAUAAAAUAUCAAUUUUGCACUUUAUAUUAAUUCUUUUUUGGUUAAAAAAUAACACACAAAGUAUUACAAUAUUAUAAAUUCAAAAUAUAAAGUAGUUACAAAUAAUUCCUACUAACCUAUGAAUAUAAUAUUUGAUACCUCUAUUUGUGUAAUAUUUUUCCAAUGGUGAAAUUGUUAUUUUUUUUGUACUAACGGAAAUGUAGUAAAAUCAUAAGUUUUGUAAAGAUAUAGUAGUAAAAUGAUAGACUAAAAUACUUGUUGUUGUUGUUUGAUAUACUGUAAUUCUUAAAGUAGUCAAUUGAUAAUAUCCCCUAAAAUAAAUGUUCGUAAUAUGUUCUCAUUUUAAUGCAACUGAUUGUUUAAUAAAAUUGUAUUUCUUUGUUAAUCUUUUAUCAUGUGCAUGCUCAGUGAGAAUUUGACUUACUAGAACGCAAGUUUGACUCUUCAUUUAAAUGUCUCUUGUAUCAUAUCCUUCAAUGUUGAGUGUGAUUCCAAUAAAAUUGAGUAGGGAGAUCCUUAAAUACCUUUUCCUUUUUUCCAAGGGCCUGCCAAAUUGCUCUAAGUGGUUCUACCCUUUAUCAAUGAAUAAUGAAAAAAAAAUUUUUAUUAAAGCAUUUUGUUCCUUAAAUGGUGACUAAUAGUACCCCUUUUUUUUGGAGAGGAAAGCCAAACAUGCCCAAAGAGAAUCAUUUACUUUCCUCUAAUGUAUUUUCUAAUUCGUUUUGAGCCUUGAAUGUCUGUUUUGGUGCGUAUUCUCAUUCCAUGUCGAAUCUUAUCCAUAUGGACAACCCCACUUACAAAAAAGUCUAAUGAAUCUAUUGAAGUUCAUAUGAGGUUUGUGCUUUAGAUUUAGACCUCUCUCUCUCUCUCUCUCCACUUACAUGUCUUUCACUUACCUGUUUGCAUGCAUGCCCAUGCACACACUUUCAAGAUAAUACACGGUCACUCGUACUUGUGUUUUGGUUGAAUUUCUGGCUGCUAACCUCUGUAAUUCAGUUUGAAACUUGCCACCCUUAGUGCUUCACUCAAAUGGUUGGUUAGGGUGAGAUCUGUAUCGUUUUCCUGGUCUCUUUCCAAGGUUAUCUAAAGGGAUUUGGCAGUCUGAUUCUUUAGGGAAUAUCAUUGCAUAAGAUAUCUAUUUUUUGUUAAUGAAUAAUUUCUAUUUAACUGGUUAUCUAUAUAAAUUG
This 36145-nucleotide long non-coding RNA is filed under the name Citrus x clementina. Its description in RNAcentral is "Citrus clementina (C. clementina) long non-coding RNA (CCLE_LNC002305)". Lineage: Eukaryota; Viridiplantae; Streptophyta; Magnoliopsida; Sapindales; Rutaceae. The record is from RNAcentral.